This 305-nucleotide ribosomal RNA is filed under the name uncultured bacterium. Its description in RNAcentral is "bacterial SSU rRNA". It matches the Rfam family "Bacterial small subunit ribosomal RNA", at positions 338 to 657 of the family's 1533-position model. The record is from RNAcentral.
CCUACGGGGGGCAGCAGUGGGGAAUAUUGGGCAAUGGGGGAAACCCUGACCCAGCAACGCCGCGUGAAGGAAGAAGGCCUUCGGGUUGUAAACUUCUUUUACCAGGGACGAAGAACGUGACGGUACCUGGAGAAAAAGCCACGGCUAACUACGUGCCAGCAGCCGCGGUAAUACGUAGGUGGCAAGCGUUGUCCGGAUUUACUGGGUGUAAAGGGCGUGUAGGCGGAGCUGCAAGUCAGAUGUGAAAUCCCGGGGCUCAACCCCGGAACUGCAUUUGAAACUGUAGCCCUUGAGUAUCGGAGAGG